GAUGAACGCUAGCGAUAGGCUUAACACAUGCAAGUCGAGGGGCAGCAUGGUCUUAGCUUGCUAAGACUGAUGGCGACCGGCGCACGGGUGCGUAACGCGUAUGCAACUUGCCUCACAGAGGGGGAUAACCCGUCGAAAGACGGACUAAUACCGCGUACACUCCAUCUUGGGCAUCCAAGGUAGAGGAAAUGAAAUUCGCUGUGAGAUAGGCAUGCGUCCCAUUAGCUAGUUGGUGAGGUAACGGCUCACCAAGGCGACGAUGGGUAGGGGAACUGAGAGGGUGCACCCCCACACUGGUACUGAGACACGGACCAGACUCCUACGGGAGGCAGCAGUGAGGAAUAUUGGUCAAUGGGCGAGAGCCUGAACCAGCCAAGUCGCGUGAAGGAUGACUGUCUUAUGGAUUGUAAACUUCUUUUAUACGGGAAUAACAAGAGUCACGUGUGACUCCCUGCAUGUACCGUAUGAAUAAGCAUCGGCUAACUCCGUG
RNAcentral lists this ribosomal RNA (490 nucleotides) under uncultured bacterium. RNAcentral's name for it is "partial 16S ribosomal RNA". It matches the Rfam family "Bacterial small subunit ribosomal RNA", at positions 28 to 507 of the family's 1533-position model. The record is from RNAcentral.